UGCGCGUGAGAAGUUCUGGCAGGCAGUUAGCUUCCAUGGGAGGCGGGUGGAGGGGGGACCGCCUUCGCCAUGACAGGUCAUUGGAGCCGUUAUAGGGGUGCCGAACCGCUUCGCUUCCGAAAAAGAGCCCGUUUACUCUGCUCAGGCUGCCAUUUUGUGUGGUAUCCGUUCUUCAUCCACUGUAUGUUGGCUGCCGCAUCCAAGUGCUCUGCUCUCAUCGCCGCCUGAAUCCCCGUUCAACCUGCUAGACUCGGAACGCUUCCAUGGAAUGGGCUAGCAACGAGGAUCCUGAAUCGCUAUCAUCGCAGCGAUGGACAAGGGAUAUAAGCAUCGUCCGGCUACUGCUCGCUUUGGCCACGCCACUAUCGUCGGAAUGGGGUACUCGCCGCUGGUGUAUUUGCAGCAUCAAGAGGCUUUGGCUGAUGAGUAUUCCUGGUCCAAGAAUUUUCUUGGCCCCAAAGAAUGUAGCUUUUCUUGCAAGUAUUCACACCAAAAACAUACCGAUGAAUACUGCAUGCUAAUGGCUUCCUGUCGCAAACUCGUCCCAGCGUAGCGAGCAAGAAUAGAAGUGUUGAAACCGUUGGUGCUAACGCUCCGCAUAAACAUUUUGAAAGGUUGGCGAACUCGAGUUUUGGAGUGUUUGAUUUUCCACUUGCUUCGCGUGAACUGGCUUUCCGCAUAGCUCAUGCACUUUUAGCACGAUGGCCUUCGCGCCCAAAUUGUUCAUAUUAAAAGCACGACAAAUCAUUAUAUACUUAUCCCUUGUCACCGGACAAAGGAUAAGCGCUAAAGUGCAUCACGACGGCCGCAUCAAACUCGCGACUUAUAACGUUGAGUUAAGGACUAGUAUUUGAGUGUCUAGAUGAAAUGUGUUAACGUGAGAGCCAUGUCCUGGUACUGGGGAGUUUCCAGAACUUCUCAUCAUUGUAACAUUCAUUAGAAACAAUUUAUCUUUGUAAAGGGGCCCGGCAUGCAGUAGUGAACAAAGACAUAUGAUAUUUUGCAUUUGGUUCCUGUUGGCUAAACUACUCAGAAGGUUGGUGCUGCGUUAUGCCAGACCGCUAGCCUAGGGCAAUGGCAUCUUGAACACAUGCUGCCUUGCUACGAUAUUGCCAUCGUAUAGCUCACCCACGGUGAACACAACUUCCGUAUUAAAAAAUAUGUAUCGCAAGUAAACCGUAUAUAUCAACCAGCAUGUCAGAAUACGUGCGCGCUUGGGAGAAACAUUUUGGUGAUAGUUGGAGAGGUUAGCCGAGCAAGAUGCUAAGCAUGCUACUACAGGUUCAAUAUAUAAGAGACGAAAUGACGAGAGAAAAGCAAAAAAAAAAAAGAAGUCGUGAGCCAUUCCACUCUGUGAAGGUGGAUGACAAGCGAAUAUGUUACGUAAGCGACAAAAAGGUGACACAGAAUCUCGAACAAAGCUACGAGGAUAUUAGUUGUCUUGAUCGGUGGUCACCGUGAC
Long non-coding RNA from Dermacentor albipictus, 1462 nucleotides. RefSeq lists it as uncharacterized. NCBI's taxonomy places the organism in Eukaryota, Metazoa, Arthropoda, Arachnida, Ixodida, Ixodidae. The record is from RefSeq and is a predicted model, not a curated record.